This 497-nucleotide ribosomal RNA is filed under the name uncultured bacterium. Its description in RNAcentral is "partial 16S ribosomal RNA". It matches the Rfam family "Bacterial small subunit ribosomal RNA", at positions 28 to 507 of the family's 1533-position model. The record is from RNAcentral.
GAUGAACGCUGGCGGCGUGCCUAAUACAUGCAAGUCGAGCGAACGGACGAGAAGCUUGCUUUUCUGAUGUUAGCGGCGGACGGGUGAGUAACACGUGGAUAACCUACCUAUAAGACUGGGAUAACUUCGGGAAACCGGAGCUAACACCGGAUAAUAUUUUGAACCGCAUGGUUCAAAAGUGAAAGACGGUCUUGCUGUCACUUCUAGAUGGAUCCGCGCUGCAUUAGCUAGUUGGUAAGGUAACGGCUUACCAAGGCGACGAUGCAUAGCCGACCUGAGAGGGUGAUCGGCCACACUGGAACUGAGACACGGUCCAGACUCCUACGGGAGGCAGCAGUAGGGAAUCUUCCGCAAUGGGCGAAAGCCUGACGGAGCAACGCCGCGUGAGUGAUGAAGGUCUUCGGAUCGUAAAACUCUGUUAUUAGGGAAGAACAUAUGUGUAAGUAACUGUGCACAGCUUGACGGUACCUAAUCAGAAAGCCACGGCUAACUACGUG